UACGUAGGGUGCAAGCGUUGUCCGGAAUUAUUGGGCGUAAAGAGCUCGUAGGCGGUUUGUUGCGUCGGCUGUGAAAUCCCGAGGCUCAACCUCGGGUCUGCAGUCGAUACGAGCAAACUAGAGUGUUGCAGGGGAGACUGGAAUUCCUGGUGUAGCGGUGAAAUGCGCAGAUAUCUGGAGGAACACCGGUGGCGAAGGCGGCAUCCUGGACCGGUAUUGACGCUGAUGCGCGAAAGCCAGGGGAGCAAACGGG
This 253-nucleotide ribosomal RNA is filed under the name uncultured bacterium. Its description in RNAcentral is "partial 16S ribosomal RNA". It matches the Rfam family "Bacterial small subunit ribosomal RNA", at positions 524 to 776 of the family's 1533-position model. The record is from RNAcentral.